AUGUAGAGAUUUUGACACUGUUGC
This 24-nucleotide non-coding RNA is filed under the name Arabidopsis thaliana (thale cress). Lineage: Eukaryota; Viridiplantae; Streptophyta; Magnoliopsida; Brassicales; Brassicaceae. The record is from RNAcentral.